GGUUAAGCGACUAAGCGUACACGGUGGAUGCCCUGGCAGUCAGAGGCGAUGAAGGACGUGCUAAUCUGCGAUAAGCGUCGGUGAGGUGAUAUGAACCGUUAUAACCGGCGAUUUCCGAAUGGGGAAACCCAGUGUGUUUCGACACACUAUCAUUAACUGAAUCCAUAGGUUAAUGAGGCGAACCGGGGGAACUGAAACAUCUAAGUACCCCGAGGAAAAGAAAUCAACCGAGAUUCCCCCAGUAGCGGCGAGCGAACGGGGAGGAGCCCAGAGCCUGAAUCAGUGUGUGUGUUAGUGGAAGCGUCUGGAAAGGCGCGCGAUACAGGGUGACAGCCCCGUACACAAAAAUGCACAUAUUGUGAGCUCGAUGAGUAGGGCGGGACACGUGGUAUCCUGUCUGAAUAUGGGGGGACCAUCCUCCAAGGCUAAAUACUCCUGACUGACCGAUAGUGAACCAGUACCGUGAGGGAAAGGCGAAAAGAACCCCGGCGAGGGGAGUGAAAAAGAACCUGAAACCGUGUACGUACAAGCAGUGGGAGCCUCUUAAUGGGGUGACUGCGUACCUUUUGUAUAAUGGGUCAGCGACUUAUAUUCUGUAGCAAGGUUAACCGAAUAGGGGAGCCGAAGGGAAACCGAGUCUUAACUGGGCGUUAAGUUGCAGGGUAUAGACCCGAAACCCGGUGAUCUAGCCAUGGGCAGGUUGAAGGUUGGGUAACACUAACUGGAGGACCGAACCGACUAAUGUUGAAAAAUUAGCGGAUGACUUGUGGCUGGGGGUGAAAGGCCAAUCAAACCGGGAGAUAGCUGGUUCUCCCCGAAAGCUAUUUAGGUAGCGCCUCGUGAAUUCAUCUCCGGGGGUAGAGCACUGUUUCGGCAAGGGGGUCAUCCCGACUUACCAACCCGAUGCAAACUGCGAAUACCGGAGAAUGUUAUCACGGGAGACACACGGCGGGUGCUAACGUCCGUCGUGAAGAGGGAAACAACCCAGACCGCCAGCUAAGGUCCCAAAGUCAUGGUUAAGUCUGUAAGCCUGUGAAGGUGUACUGUGAGGUAUGCUGGAGGUAUCAGAAGUGCGAAUGCUGACAUAAGUAACGAUAAAGCGGGUGAAAAGCCCGCUCGCCGGAAGACCAAGGGUUCCUGUCCAACGUUAAUCGGGGCAGGGUGAGUCGACCCCUAAGGCGAGGCCGAAAGGCGUAGUCGAUGGGAAACAGGUUAAUAUUCCUGUACUUGGUGUUACUGCGAAGGGGGGACGGAGAAGGCUAUGUUGGCCGGGCGACGGUUGUCCCGGUUUAAGCGUGUAGGCUGGUUUUCCAGGCAAAUCCGGAAAAUCAAGGCUGAGGCGUGAUGACGAGGCACUACGGUGCUGAAGCGACAAAUGCCCUGCUUCCAGGAAAAGCCUCUAAGCAUCAGGUAACAUCAAAUCGUACCCCAAACCGACACAGGUGGUCAGGUAGAGAAUACCAAGGCGCUUGAGAGAACUCGGGUGAAGGAACUAGGCAAAAUGGUGCCGUAACUUCGGGAGAAGGCACGCUGAUAUGUAGGUGAAGCGACUUGCUCGUGGAGCUGAAAUCAGUCGAAGAUACCAGCUGGCUGCAACUGUUUAUUAAAAACACAGCACUGUGCAAACACGAAAGUGGACGUAUACGGUGUGACGCCUGCCCGGUGCCGGAAGGUUAAUUGAUGGGGUUAGCGGUAACGCGAAGCUCUUGAUCGAAGCCCCGGUAAACGGCGGCCGUAACUAUAACGGUCCUAAGGUAGCGAAAUUCCUUGUCGGGUAAGUUCCGACCUGCACGAAUGGCGUAAUGAUGGCCAGGCUGUCU
This 1820-nucleotide ribosomal RNA is filed under the name Escherichia coli. RNAcentral's name for it is "partial 23S ribosomal RNA". It matches the Rfam family "Bacterial large subunit ribosomal RNA", at positions 1 to 2021 of the family's 2925-position model. The record is from RNAcentral. Lineage: Bacteria; Pseudomonadati; Pseudomonadota; Gammaproteobacteria; Enterobacterales; Enterobacteriaceae.